UCACGCAUCGCGNCUCCCCCACNCCCACCUCGAGUGGAGGGGAAGGAGGAUGGCUUCCCGUGCCUCACCGGGCGCGCUGGCCUAAAUUCGGAGCCCACGGCACUGAGCUGCCGCGGCGUUAGGUGGUGAACAUGGCCUUCUCGGCCAAGCGAACAACCCGUCGCGCACGCCUGCCGAAUGUGAGCUUGUAGGACCCUUUGAAGUUUCAUCACUGCAACUCAAACCGUUGCGAC
This 233-nucleotide ribosomal RNA is filed under the name Psammosilene tunicoides. The record is from RNAcentral. Lineage: Eukaryota; Viridiplantae; Streptophyta; Magnoliopsida; Caryophyllales; Caryophyllaceae.